Panthera uncia (snow leopard) is the source of this 1257-nucleotide long non-coding RNA. RefSeq lists it as uncharacterized. The transcript is spliced from 4 exons. The record is from RefSeq and is a predicted model, not a curated record. Lineage: Eukaryota; Metazoa; Chordata; Mammalia; Carnivora; Felidae.
UCUUGGAACACAUGUCUUGGGAGCCCUUAUUGCCACCACGUAAAAGUCUGGCUGCCCUGAUGGUGCCAUGCUGGAGAAAUCAUGAGGAGAGACCACACAAAGAAAGAUGUCCAAGGAGACUUGGCUGUCCCAUCCCCCCCAGCUGUUCAAGUCUUCUUUGCCUAGGACUUACAGGAGUCCAGAAGCCUUUAAGAUGCCCAGACACCAUCUGACUGCAACUUCACAUGAGAACCUGAGCCAGAACCACUCAACCAAGCUGCUACUGAAACUAUGAGAGAUGACAAGUGACUAUUAUUGCUUUAGCCAAUAAGUUUUGGAGUGUUUGAUCUAUGUUAGCAUCAACCGAUAACUAAUACAGAUUUCGGUACCUGUAAGUGGGGAGGGGUGGGGGAGGUAUGGCUGUAACAAAAAACUAAAAACACAGCAGCUUUGAGGCUUUGAGGACAGAAGUUGGAAGCGUAUGGAAGAAACUGUGGAAUCUGAUGUUCUUCAAGGAGGCCACCUACAAGGGCUUAAAGUAAGGAAGGGCUUAAAGUAAGGAAGAUCAUGUUGCAAGAUGGAGGGAAAGGGAUCUUUGUUAGAUAAUGUGUUACUCUGCUCAGGCUGCCAGGACAAAAUACCACAGACUGGGUGGUUUACACAAUGAAAAUUUAUUUCUCACAAUUCUGAAGGCUGGAAGUCCAAGAUCAAGGGGCCAGCCAAUUCAGUUCCUGCCCACAGAUCAAGAGGAACUCUACAGGAAGAGCUGUAUUUGAGAAAUUCGUCCGGGGAGCCUCAUCUGAACCUGGACCUGAUUAGAUGACAAGGCCUAGGACUUCAAGUUGAUGCUGCAGCGUAAUGAGACGUGGGGACCUUGGAAAGAGAACAGCUCUCUGUUAAAGCUACCUUUGCCUGCCAGAGGAAUCAAAGAAUCCAAAGUGUCUCAAAACGGGGCCGGAAACACGCAUUAAGGAACAACAUGGAGAGACAAUGCAGGCCAACUGCUCUGAUGGGGACUCUCAAUACCUCUGGAGAGGGGACUUCCCCGGGACUACAGCUGUUCAAGAAUAACUGCAGAGAGCCAGGUGGGAGGUCGUUUGCAAAAACAACACAGCCUGUAAAAUAGAAUGGAAUGACAUAAAAGAAAAUAACACCAUAUGAAAUAAAAUAAUAAAAUGGCCAAGCUAAAUUAAUGUCAGAGGACCCAACACCCACUCUUAGUCUCAGAGUAUCCACCUGUCCAGCCCUAGCCAGUUGACGUGGUCCACCCAGGCCCUC